Long non-coding RNA from Pteronotus mesoamericanus, 2067 nucleotides. RefSeq lists it as uncharacterized. Lineage: Eukaryota; Metazoa; Chordata; Mammalia; Chiroptera; Mormoopidae. The record is from RefSeq and is a predicted model, not a curated record. The transcript is spliced from 3 exons.
CAGCCUGCCAGGUCCUGCGGCCCAGGCUCCACUUCCGGGUCCUCCCUGCUCGCUUGGAGCCGGUCUUCUCGCUGGGAGGGCCUAGCCCGGUAUUUUUGGCUUGGGGGUAUUAGGUUUUGUGGAAAGGGGAAAGUGAAAGUCCUCGGAGUUAGGGAAACGCCGCGGAUAUAUUCAUUGACCAGUCUGGAUCCUGGGCGCACCUCGAGGCAGGCUCCCGCUUCUAGGUCCCCAAGAAAGAAGGGGAAGCAGCACCUGUCCUCUCCAGGUCCCCGCCCCCAGACUGAGGACUGAUCUUCCUGGGCCAAGGCCGAAAACCCUAUGAGUUCACCCCAGUCUGGUGGCUUCCACCAUGGUGCCCUCCAGAGGGCUCACUGGAGGGUCUGGGCAGGAGAAGCCCCAUGGCGAGCAGGAGGAGCAGUAGGUGCGACGGAGCCCUGUUACCGGCUCUCCAUCUUCAGGGAGGGGUUUGUCCAGUCCCCUCUCUGUGGACCAGGGCUAAACCAACCCAUGGAAACACCGUCCUGGAACAGCAGGAAGUCAUGGAAGACUGGCACACCCAACUCUAUGGAAAGCUAGAGGCGUCCCAGCAAGAACCGCUUUUGGAAACAACUUAGGUGAUUUAAAUUAAUUUCCAGGCAGUGCCAAGGAGACUUAAGAUAGCCACAGCUUUCCCAUUGCCGCAACUGGCAAACAGUUACUGUACAUUUACUUUGUGCCCACAAGCUCCAUAAGCACUUAGAGUCUGGUUCCAUUCCCUUUGCCUGCUUGGCCUUUUUCAGCCUGCUAUUGCCUCUUUCUUCUGUGAGUUGGCCAAUGCCUCUCUUCCCAGUGGUUGCUUGGGCUUUUCCAUUCCCUGUACUUAAUCAAACCCACCUCCGCUCACUCUUCUCUUUCUCCAGGGCAGCAGGGGUUGGGAGAAAGCUGAAGCAAACCAAGGCAAAAUCAAGAAGCAAAGGCAGUAAAACUGCAAGUGAGUUUGGUUUAGCUCCCAGCUUUGGCGUGCUCAGGCCAUCCGCAGUGGGCGAGCUGGGUUCCUAAAGGACGGGGUCGGAGCCUCACCAAGCCACCUAAAACCACUCCUCCAAAGAUCAGCCAAGGGGAAGCCACUCAGGCUGAACUCUGAUCGACUGGGACAAAGAAAAUAGUACCCAUGCCAGCCUUCCUCCCUCUAGGAAUUCUUAAGUACUUAACCCUGAUUCUGUACAUUCCGUAAGUCACGCUUUGCUUCUAUCAAAACUCAGAUGUAACAAAAUAUACACAGGGGAUAAUGUCUAGGUUGUGGACCUAGAUGCUCAACCCAGUUUCUUCCCAUCCCUCCUAACCUUCAAACCUGUCUCAGUCGUAUAAUCUAUGACUCAAACUAUUAUUUAACCGUGAAAAAAAGACAAACCAGGAAAUUAGAGGCUGAAUGACCUAAAAUUUAUUCCAUUCAGCUGAGCUAAUCUCCUAAUAAGGGUGUGUAUAAUAAUAAGUCAUAAUAUAUCUGUUCUGGAAGAUGUGAACAUUGCAGAGAAAAAAGUGCAUGGUGACUGCACAUCCCAACUUGUCAAGAUUUGUCCUCAAAAGGGUAAGUGCCUGGUCCUUAGCCAAGUUGCCUAGCAGUUUGCUAAACGAGUCUCAACAUUUCGGAACCAAUGUGCUGCAGUGGAGAGCACCCAGUGUUCAGGCUGACCACAUUCGGACCCUGGCGCUGCUGCUUCCUAGGCAAGCAAGGGGCCUACCUGCCUUCCCUUAGUCUUCUCCACUGUGAAAUGGCAGUGACAGCAAUACGGACCUCCUGGGGCUGCCGUAAGGACAGAUGAGCAAAGCACUUGGCACGUGUGAGCUGCCCGCCUCCCUAAAAGCACCCCUCGUCAACUGUUGCUGUAUGUUAAACAGCGAAUUGGCAAGACCAAGAAGGUUGGAGGCCCCACAAAGUGGGGUUCCACGGAGUCACUGGAACACAGUCAAGUAUCCUGAGCAAGAGAGAGAAGAGUGUCCCAGAGGAGGCCCAGGCAGCUGGCGGGUAGAGUGCCGCACAGAAAGCCAAGGACAGCCACUCACAGCCGGGACGUCCGCGUGGGUGGG